GGGUGCAGCCUGAGGUUCCCCAUCAAGCCCUGCUAGGCAGGGGGGCAUGGCCUGAAGUCCCCCAUCAAGCCCCGCCAGGCGGGGG
Myotis brandtii (Brandt's bat) is the source of this 85-nucleotide long non-coding RNA. RefSeq lists it as uncharacterized. The record is from RefSeq and is a predicted model, not a curated record. The transcript is spliced from 3 exons. Lineage: Eukaryota; Metazoa; Chordata; Mammalia; Chiroptera; Vespertilionidae.